This is a long non-coding RNA of Equus caballus (horse), 1793 nucleotides long. The record is from Ensembl. NCBI's taxonomy places the organism in Eukaryota, Metazoa, Chordata, Mammalia, Perissodactyla, Equidae.
AGAGGAGGGGCUUGAGAUCUAGCUGAGGGUUUGGGUUUCUCCCCAAAGGGCCACUGAUAUUUUUACUGUCUGUUAGCAGAGUGACAGGAUCAAAUUUGUCUUGUAAACAUCCCUCCCUUGCACAGGAGGGAGUGAGAAAGAGAAGCGAAGAGCGUGAAUCAGGGACAGCCCCAGUGGUGGCCUGGACUAGCGGAGUGGAGGGAGCCAUAGAGAGGCGAUAAGUGUGUUUUGGAGUUGGAAUCCAUGGCUCAUGGGGGUGAGUUGAUAGCAUGUGGGGGCGAGGAAGAAAGAGGGGCCGAACCGGACCCCCGGGGUUCUGAUUUGAGCAGCUGGAGAGAUGGAGCCGCUACGCCAUGAACCUGGAGGUGGGGUGUGGGAAGAGCGUUCCAGAAGGCACUUUGGGGCCAGUUAAACCUUAGACACUGAUGAGAGUAGGUCAAAGUGAUUCGCUUUCCUAAGGAAGUCACUGGGAGAAAGUGCUUCCCAGGGGAUUUCCAGCGGAGCAGAGCAUCUUUUUACUCCAGAGGACUAAAAACGCUCUUGUACUUGGUGAAGCUGGACUUGGUUCAUGCUGGGUUGGCCUGGAUAAAAUGUUACAGCCAGCUUCAGCCUUAGGGAGAGGCGUUUCAGGGCAGGAAUAUAAAGGCAGCAGCAGAUGACAUCUCCUGAUGGCAGUCCGUCAUCUGCCUGCCUGUGCUGUGCCACCGUGUGCCCUGCCAAAGAAGCAGACGCUGCCAGCCGCUGUCCCCGUAAAAGCAGCCGCCUUGUUGCAGCCAGGAGUGUGGACCGUUGAGCCAGACCGUCUGGUUACAACCAGUGAGACAUCCGUAGACCGAUGAAGUGCCCUCUGCACAGCACACCAGGACACCUGAGAGAUCCAUACGUCUGCACAUCCGAAGGUGGGUCGACUGGAUCCUGUGGAGGCAGUGAAACCAGAGAAGCAUUGGUGGCAGCUCCCAAACCAGAGGCUCCAGGAACCACAGUGGCACCCACAGCUCAACCCCCUUGCCCCUGGCAGUGGCAGCAGCACCUGCAGCCCUGGCCUUCCUGGCUGCAGGGGAUGCAUCUGAGGCCCUGGUGCAGCCACAGCAGCAGCACCUGUGACCUGAUGUUCCAGAGACUGCAAUGGUGGUUAGAGCCAGAGCUUCAGAAAUCACUACAGCGUCUGCAACCUGAGGCUUCAGGAAUCAAAGUGGUGCCUGUGAUGUGGGUAUCGCACCCUGUGGUGGUGGCAGUGGUGCCUUCGACCCCGGCCUGCCUGGCAGUGGCGGUGGUGCUUGUGAAUUUGGCACCCUCAGCAGCAGCAGUGCCACCACCCCUAGAAAACCUGGUAACAGCAGCAGAGGCAACACAAGUGACUCUGGCCCCCCGGCUACAGGGAACUGGGCAGCAGUGGCAGCAGAGCCCGUAACCCCAGUUCUCUCUAGCUGCAGUGGUGCCUGCAACCUGACCCCCCCAUCCAUGGUGGUGAUGGCACCUGUGAACCCAACAAUCCUGGACACAGUGGAGGCACCUGCUACCUCAGCUCCUGCCCCAUCUUCCCUCAUGACCUAGAUGACCCCAGAAGCAGCAGAGGUUCUCGCCAGCCUGGUGACCCCAGUAGUGGUGCCCCUGACCCCAACAACACUGGCAGCAGCAAGGCACCAGUGACCUUGGAGGCAAAAGCAGCAACAACGAGAGCACCGACACCACCUCUGGAAGAGGCAGUAGAGGGUGGAAGGCACUGGUUCUCAGCUAUAACCAGAGGCAGCUAAGAAUCAAAGAACACAAAGCCUUGCCCAAAUAAGGAAGGU